RNAcentral lists this transfer RNA (84 nucleotides) under Candidatus Peribacteraceae bacterium. Its description in RNAcentral is "tRNA-Ile". The stretch from base 18 to 81 matches the Rfam family "tRNA". From Rfam's summary of the family: Transfer RNA (tRNA) molecules are approximately 80 nucleotides in length. The record is from RNAcentral. Lineage: Bacteria; Candidatus Peregrinibacteriota; Candidatus Peribacteria; Candidatus Peribacterales.
GAGCGAUUAUCGGCCCAGGCCGAUGGUUAGAGCGCGACACUGAUAAUGUCGAGGUCAAUGGUUCAAGUCCAUUAUCGCCCACCA